GGACGGUUAGCUCAAUGGUUAGAGCAUCGCGUUUACAUCGCGGAGGCUAUAGGUUCGAAUCCUAUACCGUCCA
This 73-nucleotide transfer RNA is filed under the name bacterium. RNAcentral's name for it is "tRNA-Val". It matches the Rfam family "tRNA". Rfam says of the family: Transfer RNA (tRNA) molecules are approximately 80 nucleotides in length. Their secondary structure includes four short double-helical elements and three loops (D, anti-codon, and T loops). The record is from RNAcentral.